UCAUCAUGACGUACAUUCCUGCUGCUAUGCUAAUUGCUAGCCGAGUGGCUACUUUCUGUACCGCUGAUUCUGUUGUUGUUAUCCGAGGGACCCUACAUAGAAAUAACAGUAAACUUAUUUAGAAAACCGUUAACCGUUAACCCGGAGAAUCUCAGUGUCUGUGUCGGGCCGUCGUCAUGGCUCUUCAAGGCCCGGAGGAGCUGGGGGAGCAGGUCGAAGAGCCGGAGGAUCUGGACGACCAGGACGCUAGUAGCAUCUCCCCGGCAGAGGAGAUAACGCUCACCCCCGGGCCCGGUGGCGACGAGGAGCCAGAGGAGGCUCUCCUCCUGCCCUGGGACCGCUUCUCCACCUGGCUGCACUGCAUCUGUGUGGUCGGCUUCGACCUGGAGCUGGGACAGGCGGUGGAGGUCAUUUAUCCUCAUCAUUCCAAACUCUCAGAGAAAGAGAAAACAAGCAUCUGCUACCUUUCCUUUCCUGACUCAAACUCAGGUUGCCUUGGCGACACCCAGUUCUGCUUCCGCUUCCGUCAGGGUUCCAACAGGAAGUCGUCGCUAGGCUGCUUCCUGGAAACCACCGACCGGGACGCACCGCCCUGUCUGAAGAGGGAACAGGGCCAUUACUACGGCUACGUGUACUUCCGUCAGGUGCGAGACAAAUCCUUGAAGAGAGGAUACUUCCAGAAGUCACUGGUCCUGAUCAGUAAGCUGCCCUAUGUGACCUUCUUCCACUCGCUGUUGAGGAUCAUGGCUCCAGAAUACUUCGAGAAACAGGAGCCCUGUCUGGAGGCCGCUUGUAAUGACAUAGACCGCUGGCCAACACCCCAUCCCGGACGAAUCCUAACGCUGCCUAUUAUGGGCGUGGUGAUCAAGGUUCGUAUCCCGACCUGUUAUGACAAACCAGGAACCUCACAGCUGGUCCAGUCCACCCAGAGUGACAGUCUGGUGUCCAUCGUGCUCCCAACCAUCCAUGAAGUCGACCUCUUCAGGUGUUUCUACCCAGUCUUCUUCCACAUCCAGAUGCUGUGGGAGCUGGUGUUGCUGGGGGAGGCACUGGUCGUGAUGGCACCGUCGCCAGCAGAGUCAUCGGAUACCGUUCUGGCGCUGGUCAGCUGUAUCUCUCCCCUGCGUUACUGCAGUGACUUCCGGCCGUACUUCACCAUCCACGACAGCGAAUUUAAGGAGUACACCACCAGGACGCAGGCUCCGCCAUCGGUCAUUCUAGGAGUGACCAAUCCCUUUUUUGCUAAAACUCUGCAGCACUGGCCGCACAUCAUCCGCAUCGGAGACAUGAAGCAAGCAGGUGAGAUGGCCAAGCAGAUGAAAGUGAAGAAACUGAAAAACCUCAAAACUCUGGACUCUAAACCUGGUGUGUACACUGCAUAUAAGCCAUAUCUCAACAAAGAUGAAGAAAUCAUCAAACAGCUUCAGAAGGGUGUUCAACAAAAGAGACCCUCAGCGGCCCAAAAUGCAAUUCUUCGACGCUACUUCCUAGAACUGACACAGAGCUUCAUCAUUCCACUGGAGCGGUACGUGGCCAGUCUGAUGCCUCUCCAGAAGUCCAUCAGUCCCUGGAAGAGUCCUCCUCAGCUCCGACCAUUCAUCCAACAGGACUUCAUGAAGACGCUGGAGAAAGCUGGACCUCAGCUUACAUCCAGACUGAAAGGGGACUGGAUAGGACUCUACAGGCAUUUCCUCAAGUCUCCCAACUUUGACGGCUGGUUCCGCAACAGGAGGAGAGAGAUGACCCAGAAACUGGAGGCUCUGCACCUCGAGGCGCUGUGCGAGGAGGAUCUGCAGCAGAGAAUCCAGAAGCACACAGAGGUGGAGACGGUUGAUCUGGUUCUGAAACUGAAGGAUAAACUGACGUCCUCCAACAGCGUGUUUCCUCUGAGGGAGUAGCUGAUGUAGGACCAGCACCGUCAGGGAGGCGCCUGAUCGGCCCCAGAUUCAUUCUGCAGCAGGACAACGAGCCCAAACACACAGCCAGAGUCAUAAAGAACCAUCUUCAGAGACAAGAAGAACAAGGAGUCCUGCAACAGAUGGUCUGGCCCCCGCAGAGCCCUGAUCUUAGCAUCAAGGAGUCAGCCUGGGAUCACGUGAAGAGACGGGAGACACUGAGACAGACUAAAUCCACAGAAGAACUGUGUCUGGUUCUCCAAGAUACCAGUGAACCUCUGGAAUGUGGUCUUCAGCAUUUCCGGUAAAUCAGUGGCUCCAUCGCAGUGGCCCCCCCGUCAAGGGGUUAACAUGAAGGCGCUGAGGUGGUAGGCUUCGUGCCAGAGGGGGCCUAUUUUAUCUGAGUGGAAAGACUCAUCACGCCCAACCAACGGACACUGAGCUAGAGACGUGGCGUGUCACGAGCAAUCUGAGAAAGUCUACGAAGAAACCCAGAGGGGACACGAAGUAAAUACAGACCGAGUGGAGAGAAAACCCGCUGGUUGGACACUGGCGGAUGCAGGACAAAACGGACUGCGUUGGUGUCCUGCCGGCAACAGCGAUUAUUGUUAUCAAUUGUGUAUUAAGGUGAUUUUAGCUGUCAGAUGAAUGUAGUGGAGUAAAACCUGCAAUAUUUUCCUCUGAAAUGUAGCGGGGUAGAAGUAUGAAGUAGCUUAAAAUCGAAGUACUCAAGUUAAGUACACGUACCUCAAAAUUGUACCUACAGUUGUAAGUGAAAAUAAGUAAAUAAAACAGACAUUUAAGAACGAGAACUUCUGCAAAUAUAUCUGAUAGGUCUUAUUUGCCCAACUUUGUUACAUUCCACCACUGGGUGGUUUUCUUUCUUCUCAAGAGAUUUGGGUAAGAGCGAGAAAAACGUAGAAUAUUCUCAGUGUUACCCCGAAACUGUGGUCA
Xiphias gladius (swordfish) is the source of this 2849-nucleotide RNA transcript. It is a transcript of the gene named DENN/MADD domain containing 6Aa, with no coding region annotated. The transcript has 21 exons. The record is from RefSeq and is a predicted model, not a curated record. NCBI's taxonomy places the organism in Eukaryota, Metazoa, Chordata, Actinopteri, Istiophoriformes, Xiphiidae.